Long non-coding RNA from Notolabrus celidotus (New Zealand spotty), 1151 nucleotides. RefSeq lists it as uncharacterized. The transcript has 6 exons. Lineage: Eukaryota; Metazoa; Chordata; Actinopteri; Labriformes; Labridae. The record is from RefSeq and is a predicted model, not a curated record.
GUUGAAAUGCUUCUUGUUUGACAGAAAUAAAUCGGUGUGCUCCUUGGGCCACCAAGGUUCUAGCUGCCUCAAUCUUUAAUUGUUUCUCAAAAUAUUGCACUACAAAAGCAUAUCAUUUGUUUCAUCUUUCAUUUCAAUGUUAUUAUGGCACUGUAAAACCACAUGCAUAGAUUUAUUCAUGUUUUUUUCCCAUAUUAUUUCCUGAACAUUUUUCUCAGCCACACAAGAGGGUACUUGGCUGAACUUGUCCUUCUGGACUGAUAUCCAUGAAUGGUUAAAAUGAGCGUGGUGCAGGGUGUUUAAAACACUUCCUUCAGAAGAGAAAUCACUAUCAUCACAACCACAUUAACCUUUGCUUCAGUGGGGAGAUACAACUGAUGUUGUCAAUCAGCUUCAUUCCAGAUCCAACUCAACCUCAACCUGCAGCACAUUGGGAGCCAAAGUUGAAAUAUCUUAAAACAUCACAAUGUCUUACGAAAGAAUUCUGUCCAUUGAAAAUUUGAGCGAUGUCCCAAACCCAUGGAAGGGAUUAACUAUGAACCGCUGUAUAGUGGUGGCACUGGUGGUACUGCUGGUGAGCUCAGGGGUCAAUGAGCUGCAUGAGGCUAUAGACUCUUUUGUUGAGGAGACAGGGUCUUUUAUUGGAAGUCUGCAAGAUGGAUUAAUAACUCAGCUCCAGAUUUCCCCAUGGGACAGCUUUAUGGGUUGGUGGGGAGCUGAAGAAGUUGGAGUGAUAAGAAGACGUAAAAAGCCUAUGAGCAGCAAAGUAGUCCUGAAGCCCAAAAUUAAAGAAUGAUCUAGAUACAAUGUUUAUUGAACAAAUGAAGGAUCAAAAAAGCAGCUGGUUUCUAAAUGAAAGGACACUAUAAAGUCAGCAAUAUAAUUCAAUUUCAAGAGUUGAAGAAGACACAGAAUGUAAAACCUCACCUUUUUUUUGAGUCAUAAACAUAUUUUUGUUCAGAUUACUUCUUUGAUUGAGAAAAUGAAGGAUUUGCAACUUCUGUUGAAGACAAAGACCUAUUUUGAUCUACAAUUCAGUUGUCAUAUUUUUAUCAUGCAGAAUACUGUGCAGCGUGCCUCUACUACAAAUAAUUCAUUGUCUGAGUACAUAGCUUAAAGCAACCUAAUUGAAUAAACAUCUGCUACUAUGA